UGCCGAUGAUGAUUUAAGUGGAAUCGUAUAUUCAUGAUAAUUAUAUGAUUACAACCACACUACUGCCUUCCUUCUGAGGCU
Small nucleolar RNA from Andrographis paniculata, 81 nucleotides. RefSeq annotates it as small nucleolar RNA U83. The record is from RefSeq and is a predicted model, not a curated record. The transcript has a single exon. Lineage: Eukaryota; Viridiplantae; Streptophyta; Magnoliopsida; Lamiales; Acanthaceae.